RNAcentral lists this unclassified non-coding RNA (882 nucleotides) under Hevea brasiliensis (rubber tree). The record is from RNAcentral. Lineage: Eukaryota; Viridiplantae; Streptophyta; Magnoliopsida; Malpighiales; Euphorbiaceae.
GGGGGAUUGUCAACAAGGCAACCUCGCCCUUCUUCAUAGUCACCACUGCCCGGUCCAGCCCUUCAAUGACUUGCUCCUCAUCUGUCUUAAAUUCGAAAGGCUCCUCAUCAUCAUGACCCUUUUUGGUGAACAACUUCCCAUCCUGGAGCUUUCCAGUCAAUUUUACUUUAACAACUGCACCAUCAUUCGGCUUUUCAUAUCCCUCUCCUUCCUUCAGUAUUUUCUUAAGGAUCUUCUUAUCAUCCCCUACUGCAGUGACAGUCUUCCACGAAACCAACUCGAGCUCUAUGUGAAGAAUUGCACUCGAUGGUACAGAACCUUCAUUGCCAGAUGCUGACCUACCAUUCUCACCAAAGGCAUACUGUGGUUUUACAGUAAGAAGAACCUUUUCGCCCUUUUUCAUGGUCUUAACAGCUUUAGCAAUCGCAGGGCAGAAGAAACCUUCUUUUACAGUGAACUCAACACCCUCAGAUUUGGAUACAACCGUGCCAUCCUCAAGACGGGCCUCAUAUUUUACAAAAACCUCAUCCAGAUCUUUUGGAUUUUCCCAUUUCUCUCCUUCCUUGAGGAUUUUCUUGAAGAUGCCUCCAUCCUUGCAUAUGUCCUUGACGCUAGACCAUGACAGCAACUCAACAUCAAAUACAAGCGUGGCAUUUGGAGGGAUUGUUGGGGGAGAGCCAGUAGCGCCGUAGGCAAGCUCAGAUGGUAUGGUAAAUAUGGCAUUCUCGCCUUUUUUCAUAGUCUUAAUACCCUGGUCCCAUCCCUUGAUAACUUGACCUUGACCGAGCUUAAACUUGAAUGUCUCAGCACGAUCACGGCUGGAAUCAAACUUAGUACCAUCAAGCAGCGUUCCAGUGUAGUGCACUUCGACCUCAUCACCGG